CCGACCAGCGGGGCAUUGAUUCUCCGGAGAUGUCCUUCUGGCAACCCCAUUUUUUGGUAGGCAUGAUAAUACAAAAUGUUGGCUGAGCUUCCAUUGUCAACUAGGACACGCUUUACAUCAAACCUAUUUACAAUCAUUGAGAUGACCACAGCGUCAUCGUGAGGGGUCUCAACCCCUUCUAAGUCCUCGUCCGAGAACGAGAUGACUUCAUCAGUGCGUGGGCGCUUCGGGGGUGCUCCCUGGGCGGCCGU
Molecule: long non-coding RNA, 251 nt
Filed under: Phoenix dactylifera (date palm)
Lineage: Eukaryota; Viridiplantae; Streptophyta; Magnoliopsida; Arecales; Arecaceae
Description: long non-coding RNA (PDAC_LNC012358)
Source: RNAcentral